UGCUUUGGCAUAUUCCAGCAUCAUUAACCCUGAGGGAAAUCUGCAUUCGCGCGGAAAAUCCAAAAACAAGAGUUCAUCGAUGACACCACUGCUAAAUUUGAUUUCAUUCAGCCUGGGAAGAACUUCGAAAGUUGCUUCUGUUGAAGACACCAAAAACGAAGCAAGUCAGAUAUCAGGGCAGCAGCCAAAGCAAAAAGACCGGAUAGCAUGAAAAAUCAAUGUCUGCAGGGACUUUAAGCACCAAGCAACUAAAGCAAUUGAAAAAAGCUGACAAAGAAAGAUAACGUACUCGAGUAAUUAAAAAGCUGAUAAACACAAAAUAACAGUUAUGGAAUAAGGGGGGGCCAAAAAUGCAAUAAAGAGAAAUAUAUCAAGUAAAAAACAUGUCUUCUUUUUUUUCGGAAUUAUGAAACCGUGUUAAUUAAGUUGCAGAAUCAGAUUCAGUCACUGAUUUCAUCGUGUACUAAUAUCCAAUUCUCUUUUCCUGAUCAGCAACAAUUCCCCUGUAAUAUUUCUAUCAAUUAGAAAUCAGUUUUCCAUCUAUGUUCAUUGUUUAGUUCCUUCUCUUCACCGCAUAGUCUGAUGAUUGCUGAGUCAGAUGCCUCAAGACUUAAGAGGCGUUACAAUUAUCGGUUUCCACAUGUUCUGACAACUAAAGGUACAAAGGAAGGAUGAGACCAGCAAUACAUAUGUCAAAGGACAAUCACAUGGGCCAAGGAUCAAUGUAUUAUAUAUGAUAAGAGUUGGCAGAGUCACUUCACCAAUCUGCUCUUCAAUUUGAGUGUUUUUCCUUUAUUUCAUGUACAGACCUUUUCGAUUUGAAUAAAAUAGUCACUGGGAUCCACCCGUGACCUUUUCUUUUUUUUAAUGUA
Molecule: non-coding RNA, 872 nt
Organism: Solanum lycopersicum (tomato)
Lineage: Eukaryota; Viridiplantae; Streptophyta; Magnoliopsida; Solanales; Solanaceae
Source: RefSeq, a predicted model, not a curated record